Molecule: small RNA, 629 nt
Filed under: Histoplasma capsulatum
Lineage: Eukaryota; Fungi; Ascomycota; Eurotiomycetes; Onygenales; Ajellomycetaceae
Also listed under: 1 other name
Description: hypothetical RNA
Source: RNAcentral
UUUGCUUGGCGCGUUCAACCCCUGUUUUGUGCGAUUUGAAUACGUUUUACCAAUAAACUUAACACCAUAGGACCCUUUCACCGUGGAACACUUUGUUUUGCCUUUCCCGAUUCUGAUAAGCCCACCCCAUCCCUUAAUUGCUUAAUUAUACAACAAAAGAAAGCGUGAGAAGUGAGAGUGGAAGAGAGGUUCUAAAAACACAACCCCUAUUAUUCGCAGGCGAGGGCUUCGUGUAAAGCGUUCUCUAAUACAUAUAACAAAUCAAAAGUAAAGGGCCAAUAGGACGGCGGCGGCCAAUGAAAUGGGCCCCUGGUUGCCAAUAGAGCUUUUUUUGAAGUCAUGAACAGAGUGAAAAUAGAACGCAUUUUGUUUUUUUUCCACUUCUUGUCAGUUGUUUUGAUGUUAUCCUAUUACCCUUCGUUACCUGCGACUAGCUAUACAUUUAUGGAUUAGACAAAAACACGCUAGGAAGUCAACUAUCACUGCUGUUCUCUUUAGAGGAGCCCAAAUAUACUUCUCCAAUGUUGCUGAGGUUGGAUGGCAAGCAGAUCAAACAGCAUCUUUAUAAUCUAAAAAACAAUUACGUCGUGCUUUCCAAGGUAUCGUCAAGAAUUACUUCACUUUUCUCC